RNAcentral lists this ribosomal RNA (717 nucleotides) under uncultured Bacillota bacterium. RNAcentral describes it as "bacterial SSU rRNA". It matches the Rfam family "Bacterial small subunit ribosomal RNA", at positions 198 to 916 of the family's 1533-position model. Lineage: Bacteria; Bacillati; Bacillota. The record is from RNAcentral.
AGGUAAACGCAGAGAUGUCGCUUAGGAUGGGCCGCGUCCAUUAGCUAGUUGGUGAGGUAAGGCUCACCAAGGGCUGCGAUGGGUAGCCGGCUGAGAGGGUGGACGGCCACACUGGGACUGAGACACGGCCCAGACUCUACGGGAGGCAGCAGUAGGGAAUUUUCCGCAAUGGACGGAAGUCUGACGGAGCGACGCCGCGUGGGGGAAGAAGGCCUUCGGGUUGUAAACCUCUGUCUUCAGGGACGAAGAGGGUGUGGGAGACACACCGAAGCCGGUACCUGAGGAGGAAGCCCCGGCUAACUACGUGCCAGCAGCCGCGGUAAUACGUAGGGGGCGAGCGUUGUCCGGAAUCACUGGGCGUAAAGGGCGUGUAGGCGGCGUUUUAAGUUAGGCGUGAAAGACCCCGGCUCAACCGGGGGGUUGCGUCUAAAACUGGGAUGCUUGAGUGCAGGAGAGGAGAACGGAAUUCCCGGUGUAGCGGUGAAAWGCGUAGAWAUCGGGAGGAACACCAGUGGCGAAGGCGGUUCUCUGGCCUGUAACUGACGCUGAGGCGCGAGAGCUGGGGGAGCGAACAGGAUUAGAUACCCUGGUAGUCCCAGCCGUAAACGAUGGAUACUAGGUGUAGGAGGUUUCGACGCCUUCUGUGCCGGAGUUAACGCAAUAAGUAUCCCGCCUGGGGAGUACGGCCGCAAGGCUGAAACUCAAAGGAAUUGACGG